AAAAUAAAAUAAAACAGUGAUGAAAGGAAGAGAAACCCUUUAAAAGGAGAGGCUUUUGCAAAGGGCUUAUGAAAAUGCCUUCCAGAAGAUCUGAGAGUACAGAGAAGGGAAAACAGGAAAAGUGGAUUGCAAGGCAGAGGAACGUCUGCUGAUGGCAUUAGGUCAGCAAACCUGGGGGGAAGUUGCGAUAGAAUCCAGCCCCUCACCCAACCUAUCAAUUAUUUUUUUCAGUGCCUGGACCUGACUAAUGUUAACCCCAUAAUUUCAAGGAAGUCAAGGUUGCAUCAGUCUAUACAGGCUUGUCAACUAAUAACUGGCCAUAGGAUCUCUUUGGUGGUAGCAUCUUGAUUCUGGAAUUCUCUUUCCAGAAAUAUGCAUCAGUGCCUUUAAGGCUUGCUGCAUUUGCCUGCCUGUCCAAGCAUGAGCUGCGGAAAGUUGGUCCGAGGACGGACGAUCAAGGCCGACCACGAAUCACGUCCAGCGAGCAGUCACUCUGGCAACGCUGAAGCCAUGCUUAUGAAGAAAGCCAAUGCAACAAAGAGUUCAGAAACAACGUAGGUGUAUGACAUCAUCAAGGGCUGUGGCCUGUCCAGCCAGCUGCAUCCCAGUCAAGCCAGGAAUUCAGAUUCCAAGCACGGCUCUUCAAAAUUCAUUAACUGUUCAUUUAAUUCCUCUGUGAGGAAAGUGACUGGGCUAAGCUGUAUUUUUUUCCCUUGCUCAAAUAGUGCUAUUUUUCUCUCAUCUCCUCCACCUUGAAGACAUGUCGUUUGGGCCACACGAUCCUUCCUCUUCCCUUUACUGUCCAUCUGCCUUGCUCUACGUCAGAGUUUGGCAACCAAAGGCCUGUAAUAAUAUUUUGCCUACAGCAAACGCUACAUUGUAGUGGUGCUCUAUCAAACUCAAGAGUGCAGGAAAGGGUGAUGUGACAGGAAACAGCCACAUCCUUGGAGGAAGAACUUAGUGGCCAUAGCUUGGUUUCUUUAACCAGCAAGUGUGAAAGCACCUCCGUUUGUAUCCUUCUACCCUCACCUUGUUCUCUGCUCUGAGGUCUAAGAUUUGCCGUGAGAGCAAAAGGACACACUGGAAUGUCUGCCCUCACUGAAGUUCUAACCAGAUCAUGGAACAGCAAGAUAAGGCACUGCUACGACUCUCACCUCAGGCUCCUUGUAAGGAACCAGGACUCAGUGAUCAGACUCCCACCUUGCCACCACGUGUUUCCAAGGAAGACUGAAUGUUAAGGUUCCCAAGCACCUCUCAGACCACAUUGCCAGCUUGCCCAGUCACUUAAAACAGCCGAUCCCAAGGAUUUAUAAAAUCUUUGACUCCAGGAUUGUUCCUCAGUCCAAGCUACUAUUUCUGGCAUAAGGACACACCUAUGGAUUUCUUCUGGCUGGUUCUGAGUUUACAUUCCUGGUCACUGUGUGAGCUUUGCCUGCUUGGGAUCAUAUGCUUCUGGCCUACUUUGGAUUGACAGGAAGAUUCCCUGAGGGUCCCAAAGCCUACCUACUUCAUGCCUGACUCUUGUCAAGAGUACUAUCCCACUUUGCUUCAAGAUAACAAUGACAUCAUAGAGCCGCAUCUCCUUGUCCAGGAAGGAAUUCUUUCCCUCUGGCUUACAAAGCAGCCUGAGAGUACAGAAUUAUCCUACAAUGCGUGUUUUUAUCUACACUAAUGGAAUUGUUUUAUGACAGAGGUUACAUUGGUAGUAAUCCUGCUUAUUGUCCUAAAUCUGUUUAGAAGAGUGGAAAAGUAAGGAUUGCACAAUCUGAAUAUGAAUCCAGAUUUAAGUCUCAGCAUCCUGGAAAAUUUCAUUGUUUUAACCCCCCGACCCCCCAACUUACAGAUGCAUCCAAUAGGUUUGAAAAGGUACAAGCAAUAAUGGCGAAACGUCAGACGCCAGAGAUAGGGCUUUCAGUGGCCUGACACUGGGGUUUCAGUUACUUGCCUGCUUUUAAAGGCAAUCCACAAAAAUCCCAGCAGACCCCUCUCAUCAUCUGUCAGAGAAGAUCCACCUCAGUGUGGAACCGGGAGGUGGGGAGAAAAGGAAGAUCUCUGCAGUUCAAUGGAUCCCCAUGGGUUAUAUAUAUCUUUGGUUAAUGGGAAAGGGAGGGACAUCAGGGUGGAUUUCAGGAGGAUCCCUUUGAUCUGAUGAAGAGAGAGGUCAUGCUUUAAAUGACACAACAGGUGGGGGGGAAGAGAGGAGAGUGCAGAGACGUGCAAAGAUCGUGGGGUAGUGGUGGUGGGAGAGGGCGGGGGAAGGGUAAUGGGGGACAGGAGAAAAGGCCAUAGUGUUUAAGGGGAAACAGGGG
Python bivittatus (Burmese python) is the source of this 2309-nucleotide non-coding RNA. NCBI's taxonomy places the organism in Eukaryota, Metazoa, Chordata, Lepidosauria, Squamata, Pythonidae. The record is from RefSeq and is a predicted model, not a curated record.